This 1372-nucleotide ribosomal RNA is filed under the name uncultured bacterium. RNAcentral's name for it is "bacterial SSU rRNA". It matches the Rfam family "Bacterial small subunit ribosomal RNA", at positions 28 to 1381 of the family's 1533-position model. The record is from RNAcentral.
GAUGAACGCUGGCGGCGUGCCUAAUACAUGCAAGUCGAGCGAACGGACGAGAAGCUUGCUUCUCUGAUGUUAGCGGCGGACGGGUGAGUAACACGUGGAUAACCUACCUAUAAGACUGGGAUAACUUCGGGAAACCGGAGCUAAUACCGGAUAAUAUUUUGAACCGCAUGGUUCAAAAGUGAAAGACGGUCUUGCUGUCACUUAUAGAUGGAUCCGCGCUGCAUUAGCUAGUUGGUAAGGUAACGGCUUACCAAGGCAACGAUGCAUAGCCGACCUGAGAGGGUGAUCGGCCACACUGGAACUGAGACACGGUCCAGACUCCUACGGGAGGCAGCAGUAGGGAAUCUUCCGCAAUGGGCGAAAGCCUGACGGAGCAACGCCGCGUGAGUGAUGAAGGUCUUCGGAUCGUAAAACUCUGUUAUUAGGGAAGAACAUAUGUGUAAGUAACUGUGCACAUCUUGACGGUACCUAAUCAGAAAGCCACGGCUAACUACGUGCCAGCAGCCGCGGUAAUACGUAGGUGGCAAGCGUUAUCCGGAAUUAUUGGGCGUAAAGCGCGCGUAGGCGGUUUUUUAAGUCUGAUGUGAAAGCCCACGGCUCAACCGUGGAGGGUCAUUGGAAACUGGAAAACUUGAGUGCAGAAGAGGAAAGUGGAAUUCCAUGUGUAGCGGUGAAAUGCGCAGAGAUAUGGAGGAACACCAGUGGCGAAGGCGACUUUCUGGUCUGUAACUGACGCUGAUGUGCGAAAGCGUGGGGAUCAAACAGGAUUAGAUACCCUGGUAGUCCACGCCGUAAACGAUGAGUGCUAAGUGUUAGGGGGUUUCCGCCCCUUAGUGCUGCAGCUAACGCAUUAAGCACUCCGCCUGGGGAGUACGACCGCAAGGUUGAAACUCAAAGGAAUUGACGGGGACCCGCACAAGCGGUGGAGCAUGUGGUUUAAUUCGAAGCAACGCGAAGAACCUUACCAAAUCUUGACAUCCUUUGACAACUCUAGAGAUAGAGCCUUCCCCUUCGGGGGACAAAGUGACAGGUGGUGCAUGGUUGUCGUCAGCUCGUGUCGUGAGAUGUUGGGUUAAGUCCCGCAACGAGCGCAGCCCUUAAGCUUAGUUGCCAUCAUUAAGUUGGGCACUCUAAGUUGACUGCCGGUGACAAACCGGAGGAGGGUGGGGAUGACGUCAAAUCAUCAUGCCCCUUAUGAUUUGGGCUACACACGUGCUACAAUGGACAAUACAAAGGGCAGCGAAACCGCGAGGUCAAGCAAAUCCCAUAAAGUUGUUCUCAGUUCGGAUUGUAGUCUGCAACUCGACUACAUGAAGCUGGAAUCGCUAGUAAUCGUAGAUCAGCAUGCUACGGUGAAUACGUUCCCGGGUCU